UUCAGGUCAUGCAACGAGGACUGGUGUCUAGUUUAAUUAAACAGCUUUAUAAAUGACAAGACGGCUGUGGUAUGCUGAAGCUCUGGGACCUGCUAUGCAAGACUCACCAGACGCUGGUCCCCUUUUAAGGACUCCACGGGCAGAGCAGAGUAAAAACAAAGCCAAGAUUUCAAAGCACUGGGACUUAAGAUCAGACCGCUGGAAUAAAUCUACAUUGCUGAAUAGACACCUUGAAGUGGAAAAAAAAAACCACAAUUCAGACACUGGAAAAAGAAAACAGUCGCUUCUAAACCUCAGAAUCUGUAACAACUCAAGUAGUCCAAUACUGCCUUGGGUAAAUAAAGGACGGUCUGUUUAAAAUGUUCAGGC
Trichomycterus rosablanca is the source of this 369-nucleotide long non-coding RNA. RefSeq lists it as uncharacterized. NCBI's taxonomy places the organism in Eukaryota, Metazoa, Chordata, Actinopteri, Siluriformes, Trichomycteridae. The record is from RefSeq and is a predicted model, not a curated record. The transcript is spliced from 3 exons.